This 496-nucleotide ribosomal RNA is filed under the name uncultured bacterium. RNAcentral's name for it is "partial 16S ribosomal RNA". It matches the Rfam family "Bacterial small subunit ribosomal RNA", at positions 29 to 507 of the family's 1533-position model. The record is from RNAcentral.
AUGAACGCUGGCGGCGUGCCUAAUACAUGCACGUCGAGCGAACAGACGAGGAGCUUGCUCCUCUGACGUUAGCGGCGGACGGGUGAGUAACACGUGGAUAACCUACCUAUAAGACUGGGAUAACUUCGGGAAACCGGAGCUAAUACCGGAUAAUAUAUUGAACCGCAUGGUUCAAUAGUGAAAGACGGUUUUGCUGUCACUUAUAGAUGGAUCCGCGCCGCAUUAGCUAGUUGGUAAGGUAACGGCUUACCAAGGCAACGAUGCGUAGCCGACCUGAGAGGGUGAUCGGCCACACUGGAACUGAGACACGGUCCAGACUCUUACGGGAGGCAGCAGUAGGGAAUCUUCCGCAAUGGGCGAAAGCCUGACGGAGCAACGCCGCGUGAGUGAUGAAGGUCUUCGGAUCGUAAAACUCUGUUAUUAGGGAAGAACAAAUGUGUAAGUAACUAUGCACGUCUUGACGGUACCUAAUCAGAAAGCCACGGCUAACUACGUG